Molecule: non-coding RNA, 75 nt
Organism: Parelaphostrongylus tenuis
Lineage: Eukaryota; Metazoa; Nematoda; Chromadorea; Rhabditida; Metastrongylidae
Source: the annotation of a GenBank genome assembly
GCCAUUGUGGUGUAGUGGUAGCACGCGCCCUCGGUAUGGGUAAAAACGGGUUCAACUCUCGUCCGAAGUCGGGCU